This 581-nucleotide ribosomal RNA is filed under the name uncultured bacterium. RNAcentral describes it as "partial 16S ribosomal RNA". It matches the Rfam family "Bacterial small subunit ribosomal RNA", at positions 355 to 932 of the family's 1533-position model. The record is from RNAcentral.
UGGGGAAUUUUGGACAAUGGGCGAAAGCCUGAUCCAGCAAUGCCGCGUGUGUGAAGAAGGCCUUCGGGUUGUAAAGCACUUUUGCUCCGGAAAGAAAUCCUUGGCUCUAAUACAGUCGGGGGAUGACGGUACCGGAAGAAUAAGCACCGGCUAACUACGUGCCAGCAGCCGCGGUAAUACGUAGGGUGCAAGCGUUAAUCGGAAUUACUGGGCGUAAAGCGUGCGCAGGCGGUUUGCUAAGACCGAUGUGAAAUCCCCGGGCUCAACCUGGGAACUGCAUUGGUGACUGGCAGGCUAGAGUAUGGCAGAGGGGGGUAGAAUUCCACGUGUAGCAGUGAAAUGCGUAGAGAUGUGGAGGAAUACCGAUGGCGAAGGCAGCCCCCUGGGCCAAUACUGACGCUCAUGCACGAAAGCGUGGGGAGCAAACAGGAUUAGAUACCCUGGUAGUCCACGCCCUAAACGAUGUCAACUAGUUGUUGGGGAUUCAUUUCCUUAGUAACGUAGCUAACGCGUGAAGUUGACCGCCUGGGGAGUACGGUCGCAAGAUUAAAACUUCAAAGGAAUUGACGGGGUCAUAGCUG